UUACCUUUCCCCCACUGGAGCCACUUUAUUGCUGCCAGCAGUAAAUGCAGUAGUUUAGGAAGUAGCCUGAGUUGAACUAUAACAUGUAAGGAACGGAAGUUAUACAAUAAGUCAUACUGCAGUUGACUUAGUACUGAUGGUCAGAGUACUGUAGUAGAAGUGGAGACAGUGAGAGUAUUCAGUUUUUGUGUCACCUUUCGCUUUUGUAUUCCACAGUACUGUUGUUAGUACUGGUUUAGUGUACCACGACUUCAGUCCAAAUAUUUUACAGGUAUUACAUGAAAGCAUUCAGUUAUUUUGUAUCCAAAUCAUUCUGUAAGUCUACCACUAAUUAUUACCUGAAAGAAAUGAUGUGGAAAACACACAGAGUACCAGUGAGUACAAAGUAUUAAAAAAAGACACGGGCAAACUGAAGUAAAAACAGUAUGUAGAUUUUAUUAUUAUUAUUAUUGAAAUCUGUACAGUUCUUCUUUACAUUUAACGGUGUUUAGCUGGUUGUUAAUUGACUAUAUUAAACGUAUAUUAAAGUUCCAUCAGUCAACAGGUUUACUACAUUACUGUCCAUUUGUACGGAGAUACAUGAGAGAGAAUACCAGUGAUUUAACACUCAACAUGUUAACUCCUGUCAUCAUUUAGGAUUCACAGUUUUAU
Cynoglossus semilaevis (tongue sole) is the source of this 651-nucleotide long non-coding RNA. RefSeq lists it as uncharacterized. The record is from RefSeq and is a predicted model, not a curated record. NCBI's taxonomy places the organism in Eukaryota, Metazoa, Chordata, Actinopteri, Pleuronectiformes, Cynoglossidae. The transcript is spliced from 2 exons.